GAUGAACGCUGGCGGCGUGCCUAAUACAUGCAAGUCGAGCGAACAGACGAGGAGCUUGCUCCUCUGACGUUAGCGGCGGACGGGUGAGUAACACGUGGAUAACCUACCUAUAAGACUGGGAUAACUUCGGGAAACCGGAGCUAAUACCGGAUAACAUGUUGAACCGCAUGGUUCAACAGUGAAAGACGGUUUUGCUGUCACUUAUAGAUGGAUCCGCGCCGCAUUAGCUAGUUGGUAAGGUAACGGCUUACCAAGGCAACGAUGCGUAGCCGACCUGAGAGGGUGAUCGGCCACACUGGAACCGAGACACGGUCCCGACUCCUACGGGAGGCAGCAGGAGGGAAUCUUCCGCAAUGGGCGAAAGCCUGACGGAGCAACGCCGCGUGAGUGAAGAAGGUCUUCGGAUCGUAAAACUCUGUUAUUAGGGAAGAACAAAUGUGUAAGUAACUAUGCACGUCUUGACGGUACCUAAUCAGAAAGCCACGGCUAACUACGUG
Molecule: ribosomal RNA, 497 nt
Filed under: uncultured bacterium
Lineage: Bacteria
Description: partial 16S ribosomal RNA
Rfam family: Bacterial small subunit ribosomal RNA
Source: RNAcentral